Long non-coding RNA from Stegostoma tigrinum, 1170 nucleotides. RefSeq lists it as uncharacterized. Lineage: Eukaryota; Metazoa; Chordata; Chondrichthyes; Orectolobiformes; Stegostomatidae. The transcript is spliced from 3 exons. The record is from RefSeq and is a predicted model, not a curated record.
AGAUAAGCCAGUCAAUUCCUUUCGAGGGAUGAUCAAUUUCCUUCUUUGUUGUAAAGAUAAAAGCUUGCAGAAAGAAGUCUUCAAUUCUGUACGACAUCAGGAGAAUUUGAGGGCUAUGGAAAGGAACAGUGAGUGCUCUCUCGCCAAUGGCUUCCAGCCUCUGCUUCUACAUGUUGAUGCUGCCAGAAUUGCUAAGUAUUCGAAGCAGUCUAUGUUUUUAUAUUACUAACACCAGCAUUUUUAACUUCUGAGGCUUGAUUGAUUGGAGUGGAUUUGUACAGGGAUUACAAUUUUGUGGAACAAUGCUUAGCUGCGCUCUAUGUUUGAGCAGUUCUUGACCCCUUAAAUUUUUCUUGCAAUUAUUCUGUUUUGGUAUCAACAGAUAUCACAAAUGCUUCAAAUACUGUAUGAAGCAACGCUUUUUAAAAAAUGUUCUUAUACAUACUAAGUUUAUAUUAUAGUUCUGGUAUUAUAUUGUAUUCUGCCAGUUCUGGAGUUUUAGAUUUUAUAUUGUUGUAUAUCUCACUGUUUUGCAAUCACUUGGCAUAUUUUUAAAGAGGAAUAUCACAAGAAGAGUUCAUUGAAUUAAAUUAAAUGUUUACUGUCUGUUGGACUAACACUCCAUUAAAAACUAGUUGGAUAAUGUUUGGAUUUUUAAAUGUAUGAUCCUAUAAGUUCACAUCUGUUGAAACUCGUGCAAUUUAAGUCAUGGGACCACUCUUCAUGCAAUCUGAAGUAAUCAUAAAGGAAGAUCUAACCUGCAGACAGAGAAAAGCAGCCAAUGACCCUGAACCUAUGCUGAUGGUCUCAAUAUGUGCUGGUGUUUGUAUUAUCUUUAUUAUUUUAUUGAACAGCUGUAAAUUACAGAAUUCACACCAGAUGGUACUUCGUGAUUGACUUUACUACUAGACUUUUAACUACUUUAGGACUGUUUACCUUCAACACCACUGCUGACGUUCAGAAUGCAUUAGCACUCAAUGAUAAACCUUACUUGUUUUUGUACAAGCCCAAAAACAAUCACUAAACAUGGUUGAAACUUAAGUAAAUGAUGAAUAUUCAGGUACAUAGUCCGAUCUGUUUCACCACAGUAGCAGAUUCAUUCAACGAACAUAAUCAGGAAAACUGACUAGUUCACAGAAUGAUUCCACACUUGGUCUGCCCCAGAAAAUA